ACGGGGAGAACGACAAGGGGGAGGGACUUUGGGAGAACGAGGCAAAUUGACGAGCGAAGCAGACGAGCAGAGCUCACAUGAAUGAGGAAAACGUCUGUCCUGGAGUUUUUUAUCGUCACACAACGAUAAAUGCGGAGUUUAUCUACAGUGUGUGGACCUUAAAACAUCCCGAAGGGACACGACGUGCGUGCUCCUUGGACCUUUUUUCGUUAUUUGGAUAAAUUGCUUGAGGACCACCGAGGGGAAAAACGGGCGUCGACGGCGUGUCGGGCUGCAUGCGUCUUCCCAGCGUUCUCAACGGUCAUCAACCAUCUUACCACCAACCAGAGCCCAUCUCUCAUCUCUUUUCCUUCUUCUUUCUAACUUCCAUCUAUCUCUCUCUCAAGAACAUCUGACUGUGAGUACUGAGACACACAGAAAGUGCACUUAUUGUUUUUUUUUUGCUGUUAAAGCGAAACGGUCACUAAGUUUUUGACCUCAACGUUCACAAGCGACGACUCAGGCCUGCAACGUUUUUUUUAUGGUGGGAAGUUUUUUUUUUUGCUUUAUACAUUAUUUGAUUUCCUCUGUUUAUAUAUGAGUGUGUGAAAAGUUUAAAGUAUUUCGGUUGUGUGAGUUAAAACAAAAUACACAUUUUUACUUUAAUGAAAGACUGAAAUCUUAUUAUUUCUUAGUAGGGUAAAUAUAUUUAAAAAUUCUACUAAGUGGAGGCACCAAACCAUUUAAGUUUCAAAUUCUAGCAACGGCACCACUUACACAAAAAAUUCGAACCCAGAGCCCACCCAGCGUGUCACGUGGGUAGGGGCUACAAUUCUAAAAAGUGAAGUGAGAAUGAUGACAUUUUAACCUCGCUCCUUUGACUGUUUGAAGGGACUCCACAGGUUGACGUGGAUCUGAAGGAAGCGUCUCUCUCGAUCUACACCUGGUGGCCAAACAACAGUAUGUCACGUUAUCAGGCCUUGGAAGUACUGUGCCAGGCAAAAAGAAGUUGACGCUGCUGGGCGGUCUGGACUGGACAAAGCACACACAUUUAACCAUGUCCCCCUCAGAGGAGCAGGAUGAGACACUCUUAAUUUCAGGAGCAUCUAUAUAUAAAGAGAAAUGGAACAAUAAUUGGUUAAUUAUAGUUGGACAACUCUUAGCAAUAACCUUUCUGAGUCAAUAUCAUGGUAAUUAUUCAUUUAUAUUCCUCUUAAAUGACAAAACCUUUCUGACUCACUGUGUUUCACAAAGGGUGAUUUAAAAAAAAAAAUUUUUUUUUUACGUUCCUCUUAUAUGUCAAAACUUGUCAAAUUUCUACCCAACCUGUAUGUGUGAGUAAAAUAGUCACAAAAUACAGUUAACUUACACGUCACAUCAAGCUGGACAGGUGAUGAUGUUGCUUUUCCUAUGGCGUUUAUGGCAAUGCAGUACAAGCGCCCCGUGCGUCUAGAGACAUUCGUCAGGAUAAAGAUCCUGCCCUCGUGCAGCCGAGCGCCGUGGUCGUUAUGCCACUCAUAGCUGCUGGCGGCAGGGUUGGCGUCACAGCUGCACUUUAGAUACACAGCUUCUCCCUCCUUUACAUUUGCUUUGUAUUGAACAUCUAUAUUCACUGGACCAUCUAUAGGGAAACACACAAGAGGCUACAGCGAGGUUUGAUGGACAUUUUUAUGAACAAGAAACAAAUAGUUUUUAUUUUCAACGCAUUGGCAGAUAUUUGGUCAAAACAGCUAUUGCAGGAAAAGCAUUUACACCCACAUACACACCUGUUUCAAAGUUAGAGACUUCAAUUAACCUAUAAUGUGCGUGUCUUCUGAAGGUGCCAUAAUAAAGAUCGUAUGGAACCAUAUACAGUCAUGUGAAAAAAAAUUAGGACACCCUGUGAAAUAUUCAGUUCUUUAUUAAGAAAUGUUCACUUAUCUGAUCACUUGUCUGAUCUUGUUUUUCUUUAUCUCUGGAAAAGAAUGUGAUUUAAUUGCAGGUAAACAACACAAAUUAACAUUGUUUUAUUCAUUAAAGAAAUGCAUAUUCUAACUGAGGAAAAGAUUGGACCCUACCACCUAAUAGUUACCCCCUUUGGCUGCAAUUACUUUAGUGAGACGCUUUUUGUAGCCAUCUACCAGUCUUUGACAUCGGUCUGAAGAAAGUUUGCCCCACACCUCAACACAGAAUACUUUGAGUUGUGAGAUGUUUGAGGGGUUUCUUGCAUGUACAGCCUCUUUCAAGUCACUCCAAAGCAUCCCAAUGGGAUUGAUAUCUGGGCUUUGACUCAGCCAUUCCAGGACUCUCCAUUUCUUCCUUUUCAACUAGUCCUUGUUGGAUUUACGGAUAUGUUUUGGGUCAUUUUCAUGUUGCAAGAUCCAGUUUCGCUUCAGCUUCAAUUUUUUCCAAAGAUGAUCUCAAAUGUUCCGAAUGCACCCUCUGAUACAUGAUAUAAUUCAUUUAAUCAUCAUUAAAUGAUGGUGAGCUGGCCAGGCCCUGCUGUAGCAAAGCAUCCCCAAACAAUGACACUUCCACCUCCAUGCUUCACACUUGGUAUGAGGUUCUUUUCCUGGAAUGCUGACUUGGGUUUAUGCCAAACAUGUGCUCUGUUCUGGUGUCCAAAUAAUUCAACUUUCGAUUCAUCUGUCCAAAGAACAUUAUUCCAAAAAUCCUGGUCCCUGUCUACAUUUACUCUGGCAAACUUCAAUCUGGCCUUCAUGUUCUUCCUGGAGAACUAAGGUUUCCUCCAUGCACACCUCCCAUGAAAGUUAAACUUGUCAAGUCUCCUUCUGAUUGUAGAGGCAUGCACUUUCAAAUCAACAAUAGCAAGAGCCUGCUGUACGUCCCGUGAUUUUGGGUCUUUGGAGACUUCUUUCAGAAUCUUGCGGUCUGCACUCAGGGUGAACUUGCUUGGACGGCCAGGCUGGACUUGAAUGUCCUCCACUUGUAGACUAUUUUACAGACAGUAGAAUGGCUGAUUUUAUAUUCUUUUUAGAUCUUUUGAAAUCCCUUACCAGACUCAUGGGUGUCUACAAUCUUCUUUCUGAAGGCCUCAAAUAGCUCAUUUGAGCUUACCAUGGUGUUUUCUCUCACUUAAACAGUCAGGGGACCACCAAACUAAAUGAGUGGUGUAAAUAAGGCAAGCCUCCUUUAAAACACUUGGUUGGUAAGGAUGUUCUAAUCAUGUGCACCUGAUGUGAUACACUUGUGUGUGAUUUUAGCCAUUUUAAGUGGGAUUGAAUGUUGGGGUGUCCCAAUUUAUUCCUCACCAGAAAGUGCAUUUAUUUAGAAUUACAUUUUACAGAAAGUUAUUAAAUACCGUUUUUUUUAUUUUUUAUUUUUUAUUUUUUUUUUAAUUUUUUAGUUCUAUUACUUGAAUCUCUCAAGAUUGUUAAAAUUGAUAUUAAAUAUCUAUAUGACCAAAUAUGUUAGAAAACACACAGGCUUCCAUAGGGUGUCCUAAUUUUUUCACAUGACUGAAGUUUAUAUUCAUGAAAAUAUGAUUCAACACAAUGUUGGCGGGCAGCUUCCCCUUUGCUAUGGGUUAUAAACAACGGCACAUUUCUUUUUUCCUAUCAGACACUAGAAUGUUUUGAUGAUGCAUAAAAGUGUGAGCUUUU
Corythoichthys intestinalis (scribbled pipefish) is the source of this 3581-nucleotide long non-coding RNA. RefSeq lists it as uncharacterized. The record is from RefSeq and is a predicted model, not a curated record. NCBI's taxonomy places the organism in Eukaryota, Metazoa, Chordata, Actinopteri, Syngnathiformes, Syngnathidae. The transcript has 3 exons.